This is a long non-coding RNA of Polypterus senegalus (gray bichir), 1677 nucleotides long. RefSeq lists it as uncharacterized. The record is from RefSeq and is a predicted model, not a curated record. Lineage: Eukaryota; Metazoa; Chordata; Cladistia; Polypteriformes; Polypteridae. The transcript has 5 exons.
UGGAGGUUGACGCCACUGGGGUUUCUUGUUGUAAAUAUACUUCCUUAUUAGCUUAUCUGGUACAGAAAAAGUCACAUUUUAAUUUUCUCUUUUUACACAGCAGCUGACAUUCUCCCUGUCUGGAACUUGCGCAAGGAAAUCGAGAUGGCACAACACCCAGCUUUGACUCUGAGGUUUUCUAAAGUCAUUAAUGGAUUCUCACAUGAAGAUCUCCUCAAGAUCACAGAGAACUACAAGCCUCAGCUGGCCUACGUGAUGAACUUCGACAUCAGCAGCAUCCUGCAGCUCCUGGUCAACAAGCACAUCCUCACCAAUGAUGAAGCAAAGCAUUCAUGACAUUCUCCCUGUCUGGAACUUGCGCAAGGAAAUCGAAGACACUUUUAUUCAAAGCAAUUUACAAAAGAGGUCAACGUAAUGGAAUAAACAUCACUCUGGGACUGUUUAAGAACACGUGUGACAGGACAAGGGGACAAAAUUGAUCAGCACAAGUGAAGAACUUUAAAGCACUUUACAUCAGGAAAUCACCUUCAGAGUAUCAGCGCGGUCGCACAUGUGGAGUAUUUACCACCAGUUCAAGUGGAACACCAACGCCGUAGUCACUUAGACUUCAAGAUUGUUGAAGGCUUCGUCACUCUCUGAGGUGCACAAAAAUGUCUUUGUAGUCUUCUUGGUUAAGAGUACGAAUGGACAAUGUGAAGGUUUUACAAUUGUUAAUGAAUUACCAAUAAUAAUUGUGAUUAAUUGUAAUUUACAAAGCAUUGAUGCUAUUUGACAUGAACAGUAGUUUACAUUUUACUCUGAUUGGGUGGAGAAAUCCAAAAACCACAACUCUGUAAUUUAAUGAGUAAAGUGUUUUGAUAUUAAAUCACACAUAUACUUCGAAAAUGCCACAGAAAAUAUAAUUUAUAGUACUGGAAAGGUGUUAAAAUCUGCUCUCCAUGUGUCACCUUCCUACAUUUGAAUUAAACUAUAUGUUUUUCUAAAGUCCAAUUUAGAAAAAAAACAAUAAUAAUACAGUAAUAAUCUGAUUCAAGAGCAUCAAGAUCAAAGAUAAGGGAUAAUUCUAUUUUACCAUAAUUUAAUUUAUUUCCUGACAGUCUAUACAAAGGUAAAGAAAGCCAACCGUUUUUCAAAAAGAAAUGCCCCUGCGCCAACUAGAGUAUUCAGCUGCAGAGUUUUAAACUUUCCUUUAAUGUAACUAUCGAGGGUCUUUAUUUCUGGACCAGGUAACAAAUAAAGUCUCCUUUUAGAUAAAAACACCAGCCAUGAGUUCAAUGGAACAAUCUUAAUGUCUGUGUGAUGGCAGCUCCAAGAACUUCUGCUUGCCAAAACUGUCAGUACGGCUGGCACAUUGCUCUGGAAAUAUAGCGACAGAGAAACAAUAAAAAAUGUUAUUUCAGUUACAAAAUGAAUGAGACGUUUUUAUUCCAUGCCUCCAAGUCUCUGUUCUCAGAUGUAUUUUUAGAUUAUGUCCACUUCAGAAUGCAGAAAGAAGAGCAGCAGCAUUUUGUUCUGCAGAAACAGGAGCAGUAAUGUCCGGUGGGCCUCACGUGUAACUCCAAGCACACUAAAAUAUUGCAUAUGGAUAAUGGGGUACACACAAAAAAUUCAGAUGCAUAAAACCAUACUUCAGCCAAAUUCACCAGUGUGAAAUGUAACACUUGUGCUCGCUCCUGC